UACAGAGGGUGCAAGCGUUGUUCGGAUUCACUGGGCGUAAAGGGUGCGCAGGUGGGUUUGCAAGUUUGAUGUGAAAGCCCCGGGCUUAACCCGGGAAUGGCAUUGAAUACUGCAGAUCUGGAGGAUUGGAGGGGGGACUGGAAUUCUUGGUGUAGCAGUGAAAUGCGUAGAUAUCAAGAGGAACACCAGUGGGCGAAGGCGGGUCUCUGGACAGUUCCUGGACGCUGAGGCACGGAAGGCCAGGGGAGCAAACGGG
RNAcentral lists this ribosomal RNA (256 nucleotides) under uncultured bacterium. RNAcentral's name for it is "partial 16S ribosomal RNA". It matches the Rfam family "Bacterial small subunit ribosomal RNA", at positions 524 to 776 of the family's 1533-position model. The record is from RNAcentral.